UAAGAGACGCCACGAGCAGCUCAGAGACGUAGAGGCAAUGGACAGUAGAGUUUGCUUGUUACUCAUACUGCUUCUCUUGUUGGGGUUUUUUCCUCGCUACCAAGCUCCAACCAUACAUGGCUAUACCUGCAGUAAGUAAAACACUUUUGCUCGAUCAUAUUGGACAACUAUCAUCUGUCUAUCCCUUCAGCCCAAAAUGUUCUACCACGUAUAUACCUCCGUACGUACGUUCUAUGGUAUUAUUGCAACCUUUCUAGAUUAAAUUUAUACGAAAAGGUUGCUAUAUUUUAAACAUAAUCUCACAAAUGAUAACAGUUUGCUUUUGUAUGUAUGCAGACAAGAUAGGCGAAAGAACCAGCAGUUCUGCUUGUUCUCCGCCCUCGCCUCCCCGACCAAUAUGUUCAUACCCCGUAGCGUGUCCGCGUCGCGCACCUUACAAUUAAUUUUCGACAAGCAUCUGAAGCCCAAGAUUUCGGAGGCAUGUAUGAAGAACAGCGCCUGAAGUUUCUCUGAUGCAUAAAAAGAAAAAAAAUGAAUUAAGUGUAUUGUCCUUACUUAGAUGGCUAAUUGUUCACUAUUUGCUUUGAUAGAUGGAUUCGAUAUAUAUAUAUAUAUAUGGGGGUUGACUCUGUUAUAUUUUACUGAUAUUAUAAUUUAAU
This 659-nucleotide long non-coding RNA is filed under the name Oryza brachyantha (malo sina). Its description in RNAcentral is "long non-coding RNA (OBRA_LNC002955)". The record is from RNAcentral. Lineage: Eukaryota; Viridiplantae; Streptophyta; Magnoliopsida; Poales; Poaceae.